UACAGAGGGGGCAAGCGUUGUUCGGAAUUACUGGGCGUAAAGGGCGCGUAGGCGGCCCGCUAAGUCGAACGUGAAAUCCCCAGGCUCAACCUGGGAACUGCGUCCGAUACUGGCAGGCUUGAAUCCGGGAGAGGGAUGUGGAAUUCCAGGUGUAGCGGUGAAAUGCGCAGAUAUCGGGAGGAACACCAAUGGCGAAGGCAGCUCGCUGGGACGUUACUGACGCUGAGACGCGAAAGCGUGGGGAGCAAACAGG
This 253-nucleotide ribosomal RNA is filed under the name uncultured bacterium. RNAcentral's name for it is "partial 16S ribosomal RNA". It matches the Rfam family "Bacterial small subunit ribosomal RNA", at positions 524 to 776 of the family's 1533-position model. The record is from RNAcentral.